ACAAUGUAAAUCAUUCUUGCAUUUCCCACAUUCAUAUUAAUGCUAAUGAAUCUAGAUAGAUAUAUAUGUCUAGAUUCAUUAGCAUCAAUAUGAAUGUGGGAAAUGCUAGAAUGACUUACAUUGUG
This 125-nucleotide unclassified non-coding RNA is filed under the name Oryza sativa (Asian cultivated rice). RNAcentral's name for it is "partial microRNA MIR472a-43-as precursor". Lineage: Eukaryota; Viridiplantae; Streptophyta; Magnoliopsida; Poales; Poaceae. The record is from RNAcentral.